Molecule: ribosomal RNA, 492 nt
Filed under: uncultured bacterium
Lineage: Bacteria
Description: partial 16S ribosomal RNA
Rfam family: Bacterial small subunit ribosomal RNA
Source: RNAcentral
AGUGAACGCUGGCGGUAGGCCUAACACAUGCAAGUCGAACGGCAGCACAGUAAGAGCUUGCUCUUACGGGUGGCGAGUGGCGGACGGGUGAGGAAUACAUCGGAAUCUACUUUUUCGUGGGGGAUAACGUAGGGAAACUUACGCUAAUACCGCAUACGACCUACGGGUGAAAGCAGGGGAUCUUCGGACCUUGCGCGAUUGAAUGAGCCGAUGUCGGAUUAGCUAGUUGGCGGGGUAAAGGCCCACCAAGGCGACGAUCCGUAGCUGGUCUGAGAGGAUGAUCCGCCACCCUGGAACUGAGACAAGGUCCAGGCUCCUAAGGGAAGGCGCAGUUGGGAAUAUUUGACCAUGGGGGGCAGCCUGAUCCAGCCAUACCGGGUGGGUGAAGAAGGCCUUCGGGUUGUAAAGCCCUUUUGUUGGGAAAGAAAAGCAGCAGGUUAAUACCCCGCUGUUCUGACGGUACCCAAAGAAUAAGCACCGGCUAACUUCGUG